RNAcentral lists this ribosomal RNA (590 nucleotides) under Vibrio parahaemolyticus. Its description in RNAcentral is "bacterial SSU rRNA". It matches the Rfam family "Bacterial small subunit ribosomal RNA", at positions 953 to 1533 of the family's 1533-position model. Lineage: Bacteria; Pseudomonadati; Pseudomonadota; Gammaproteobacteria; Vibrionales; Vibrionaceae. The record is from RNAcentral.
GAUGCAACGCGAAGAACCUUACCUACUCUUGACAUCCAGAGAACUUUCCAGAGAUGGAUUGGUGCCUUCGGGAACUCUGAGACAGGUGCUGCAUGGCUGUCGUCAGCUCGUGUUGUGAAAUGUUGGGUUAAGUCCCGCAACGAGCGCAACCCUUAUCCUUGUUUGCCAGCGAGUAAUGUCGGGAACUCCAGGGAGACUGCCGGUGAUAAACCGGAGGAAGGUGGGGACGACGUCAAGUCAUCAUGGCCCUUACGAGUAGGGCUACACACGUGCUACAAUGGCGCAUACAGAGGGCAGCCAACUUGCGAAAGUGAGCGAAUCCCAAAAAGUGCGUCGUAGUCCGGAUUGGAGUCUGCAACUCGACUCCAUGAAGUCGGAAUCGCUAGUAAUCGUGGAUCAGAAUGCCACGGUGAAUACGUUCCCGGGCCUUGUACACACCGCCCGUCACACCAUGGGAGUGGGCUGCAAAAGAAGUAGGUAGUUUAACCUUCGGGGGGACGCUUACCACUUUGUGGUUCAUGACUGGGGUGAAGUCGUAACAAGGUAGCGCUAGGGGAACCUGGCGCUGGAUCACCUCCUUAAACGAUGAU